UGCACAUAAUGGUUUAAGGAAACGUGACUUGUACACCUCCAUUACGAAUGAGGAGUUGGACAGAAUAUUGGUGGAAAUACACCACAGAUACCCUAAUGCUGGCUACAAGAUGAUCUUGGGACACUUAAGAUCCAGGCAACUUCGUGUACAAAAACUUCUACUCAGCUGCUUAGGAAAUACUGCAGCCGAACUCACAAGAGACCGAAGCUUGAGGAAGACCUAGUGCUGGAAAUGAUACGGCCAUAUUAGACUGUCUCCUCCUCCACAGAGAGUUCGCUCUCCACCUUCUCCUCAACGAUGCGCUC
Long non-coding RNA from Ctenopharyngodon idella (grass carp), 305 nucleotides. RefSeq lists it as uncharacterized. Lineage: Eukaryota; Metazoa; Chordata; Actinopteri; Cypriniformes; Xenocyprididae. The record is from RefSeq and is a predicted model, not a curated record. The transcript has 3 exons.